UGAAGUUAUUGUAUGAUUGUAUGAGUCUAUGACACGUGAAUCACGCCUCCCCCAUCGCGUGAAACAUCAAACUUAUUUAUGCGCCAUCUACAUAUAUAUUUGGUUUGUUUCAUAUAAGACAAUGCAAAAACCAAUCAUUUAUUUAUAUAAUCAAAUAGAAUUAUUAAAGUGAGUACAAAUACAUGUAUGAAACCAUAUAUGAUUAAUAAUUUUUCUUGAUGAGCCUUUUACUCAAUUUGUUUAUGGGCCUUUUCCUCUGCGGGAUUUUGAAGGAGGUACAUAAAAACGAGGGGGAGGAGGAGGAAUUGGUGGAGACGGAAUUAGUGGAGAUGGAAUUGGUGGAGACGACAUCUUUUUACCUGAUAACAAUAUUGAAGAUAUUGUUUCAUUAAAUAAUUUGCAACCAUUAAAUAUACAAUCAAAGAAUCAAUUGAAAAUAUACAUCUGAACAUUUGCACCAUGACAAUAAAUAAAAAAUGAGUGCAAAUACUAACGUUCGUCGCGUUUGGCUUCUGUGAAUCCAACUUGAGAGGAGAUAAAUAGAAGUAGAAGAAGUAAAGACAAAAGAAGAGAAACUAAAUGUGAUAUCUUUGUAGCCAUUUAUGGUCCACUUUGUCUUCCUACCGUAGCGAAAGACCAUCUCAUGCUAUCGAUCUAUAUAUAGAGAGAAGUAAACGAAGCAUCAAUAAUCUACAAACUCACCAACUACUUCUCCACUCAACAGUUCUUUUACAUUAUUUCUCCGAAAGAAGGAUAUUACACUUCUUCAAUAUUAUUCAUUGCUCGUUUCCAUAGGAAGACUCAUGAUAAAAAUA
RNAcentral lists this long non-coding RNA (815 nucleotides) under Arabidopsis thaliana (thale cress). Its description in RNAcentral is "long non-coding RNA (ATHA_LNC000435)". Lineage: Eukaryota; Viridiplantae; Streptophyta; Magnoliopsida; Brassicales; Brassicaceae. The record is from RNAcentral.